UCUCUGAGCUUGACUUUCUUUUCUUUCGGUAAUGACAGACUCUGAAAGAUUCUUCACCACAGUGUGCAGCACAGCAUGGGGGCCGGUCCAGGGAGUCGACUCACCACACCAGGCCCCCACCCACGCCCACGAGGCUGGUCCUGGCUUGGACUCCAGAGGUGACUGUGCCCAUUAAGCCCCCUCCUAGACCCGACAACCAACUGAAAAGUUCUCUGUGUUCCUCCUCCUGGGUCCACGGCUGCUGCUCUUCCACCCAUGGUGCUUGGGGUUUUCUGCCUGGCCAAAGGAGGUGGCCCUCAUCCUGUUUGCCCUUGAAGAAAGAGGACCUAGGAACAUGGCUUCCAAAACAGUGCUUGAGCUCUGGGGCCAGCCCUGAGGCCGCUGCGUGCCUUUCUGACCCGGCAACGGGUGAGACCCCCUUGCCACUCACCACCCAAUGUCUGAAAUUAGCAGCAGCCUAAUCUCUCCCUGCCAUAUCACUCAGUGGGGUAAUUGUGCAGGAAAAAAAAUGUAUUAAAAUGCAAAACACUCAGUUGUACUUCUUUAUGUUAAAUCCCUUCUUCGCUCUAUCUCCCUUUUAAUUUUACAAGGUUUUUUUCCUCUCUCCCCCUUUUAUAAAGAGGAGAGCUGGGUAUGCAGGGAAUCAUUUCAACUCUCCUAUAAAUCUCCAAAAUGAAUACUUAAAUUCGAGGAAAAAAAAUACAUUCUUACACCUUUAAUUUCCCUGCUAUGAAGUAUAAUGAAAAAGCCUGAUUAUUUUUAAUUCUUCCCUUUAAUAAUUCAGCGGCGGAGUGAUUUAAGACUAGGAUUCAUAAUUACCUUUCCGCUUUCUUGGCAAAUGGAGUUUUAAUAGAAAUGAGAGCUCUGGCGACUGAAAUGGAUUUCAACAGGUCGCUGGGGGGGGGGUCAAGCCUGACACCAAUUGGUAGAGGAGUGUUCUAGGUCCCCCAGGAUGUGAGGUCUGGAUUAGAUACCUGGGCCCCGGUGGGGGACAGAGGGGGAAGAACAUUGCCUGCACUUGCUGGGACCAAUUGUCAAAAUAGAAACAGAAGGUCACAAUGUGGUGUCGAAUGACCCAUGUGUCCUGCAAGGUAGAAACUGGUGAGAACAACAGGAGGAAAGUGUUCUGAUUAGCAAUAAUGAGCUAACAACUGUGGUGUUAGUGAUAGGAGUCACUGUUAAUUGAGUAAAU
Molecule: long non-coding RNA, 1192 nt
Filed under: Ictidomys tridecemlineatus (thirteen-lined ground squirrel)
Lineage: Eukaryota; Metazoa; Chordata; Mammalia; Rodentia; Sciuridae
Description: lncRNA (ENSSTOG00000032037.1)
Source: RNAcentral